Molecule: long non-coding RNA, 731 nt
Organism: Hydractinia symbiolongicarpus
Lineage: Eukaryota; Metazoa; Cnidaria; Hydrozoa; Anthoathecata; Hydractiniidae
Exons: 2
Source: RefSeq, a predicted model, not a curated record
UUGACAUAUUAAAAAGUACAGAAAUAACAGAAAUGUAUAAAAACGUGAAAUAGAAAUUAUCAAUUUAGAAUACAAGGGAUAAAUACAUAAUCCCAAUGUUUUUUUUCUUUUAUUUUUGCAUGAAGGCUAGCUCUUACCAAUUGUGCAAGUGUUCAAGACUGUUACACUUCUUGUUUUUUAGUUACUAAGUAACUAGGAAGUGAACGAGCAAGUAUGAUUUCACAUCAAAAAUGUUUCGCCACUUUUAUAUUCGUUGCUAAGCUGCGACUACUUUUUUUGUUUUUAAAACUUUUUUUCUUUGCUCAUAAAUCUUUUUUGUUCUUCAUUGGAUGACUUGGUUGUACUGUUGAUAAACUGGAAGAAACAACUGAUAUAAAAUUUUCCUCAAAAUAUUCAAGAUGAAAUCCCUGAUCAUUUUCGGCAUCGUUUUAAUGGCAUUGGUGAUCACUACGACUGAUGCCAUCCCCGCCUCCUAUAGCAGUCGCAUCUACGAUCGCUCCUAUCAAAUCUGCAUGGAAAAGGCGAGGAAAGAAAUCAAGAGUUGCGAAAACGCCAUCAAAACAGAUUUCAAAAGAGAGCUAGACUUGUGUAAUGCAAAAAGAGAAAAACUUGAACUUGGAUGUUAAAUUUUGUUUAUUUUCGUAACUUUAUAUAACGGGUGAAUUUAAUAAAGAAAAGAAAAUUAUAUUGUAGAAUUAUAGAGGCGGUUUAAAUAUGUCAAAAAAUAAAAA